AGGCAGGAAACUCAUGUGAAUAUGUACUAUAGCAUCCGAAAUACAAAGAAGGCUCGUCUUCCUUGAGAACGACUUAGAAGAGGGUUUGAAGUAGUGCCAAAUAAUGAUAAUCGAUUAUAGCUAGUUUUUACAUCUCACUAAUUUCUACUUCCUCCAUCCUAAAAUAUAGCUAUCUAUACAGGAUGUGACAUUACUCGAAUCUGGACAGGAGGCUGUCCAGAUUCGUAGUAUUAGAUAAUGUCACAUCCUAUACUAGGUAGCUACAUUUUGGAACGGAGGAAGUAAUCCAUAGAUCGCACCAGAAAAAAAUUGUGAGUGGGAUAAGUUAUAAGUAGCCUCUCACACAUGUUACAUUCGACAAGUCUAUAACCAUAUGUGCCCACCAUUGCGCCCCAUCGAGAGUUCUCAAGACACUGCAGCUAAGGCUAGGAGGCAUCGUGAAACACAUCCAGAUGCCUCUCAUAAAGGUUUCUUCGCGGUUACUCCCAAGCAUGAUGAGGGACCUCUUCGGUGCCACCAUCGUGUCCAUGGAUGCUACAUUGGCAUCACGCACUGCCGGCCGGAUCACGGGCUGAGCUGAGACCAUCAGCUCAGCAGGAGCUAUACAUCAGGCAAAAGAUUGUUCAUAUCAGAAAUUCAGCAGCGACCAUGACAGAAACCAGGGAGCAAAGCUAUGCUCGUGCCGCUGCAUGUUACCAGCAAGCUUGGCGCGGGUCACGAGUAUGAUGGCAGGUUGAAAAUCAGCUUAUUUUUGGACAAAGGAAGUAGUCUGUUUCUAUCCAACGCGUUUUAAACUGUUGCAUUAUAUAUGUCACCUGAUGUUCAAAAAUGCAAUAAUUAAACCAUGAACUUGAAUUAAUGUAUCAAUGCGCACAAUAGCUAGCUGCAUUAAUUAGAAAAAAAAUGAAGAUGUAACUUUUUCUAUCGUUUUGCAUGAAUAUACGGGGUUUAAAAGAGUUGGUAAAAAUAUACCGUGGUGGCGCUGUGAAAGAUGCGAACUCGUCGCAAAGUGAGGAAGCGAACUUAUGAUCUCCUCUCUCGAUUUAUUCGUGGACGGUAGCAGCAAACUAAUCAGGCCUUUUUUUUCUUUCUUGCACGAUCGCAUGCAGUACAAGCGAACUCUCACGCGGAACUCGCCUGCCUCACUGCUCCCAUCCGCGUGUUCGCUAGUCACUUCGCUGCUUCCGUCCGCAAAAUCAUGACGAUUAAAAGUUCGCUUCCACAUGACGCGGACUUGUCGUGAGUUCGCAUCUUUGUAACGCGACGACAGCAUAUUUUUGCCAAAUCUCUUAGAAACGGGAAUAUUCAAGCAAAACUGAGGGAAAAAGAGUAUAUUCUGUUUUUUUUUUACAUUAAUAAGCUAGUACUGCACAACAAAAUAUGCAAGGUUCCUUUACUGUUGGUCACAACUCAAAAUUGCCUCCAGACUUUUCAAUUCCAACAGCCACCUUGUACCAACUCACUUAAUAACAAUAAAGUUCUAUGUUUGUGGUUGAACCUGACGUGCGUUCUUUAUAAAUGAGAGGCAUAAACCACUCAUGUGGUAGACUUAAUUCCACAAUUCCAAAAAGGCAUGCCAUCUUUCAAACCUUAAAGGCAACUUUGAAGACAGAUACACAUAUCACACCAAUGACGCACCAUCUAAUUGAUACCCAAUCCAUAGGGCAUUUUACGUAAUUGACAUUCCAAAUCGUAGUUCAUGUUACGUUCUUCUUUUUGUUAUAUAUGUCCAUUAAGCAUAGGGCAUUAUAUCAAGGAAUAAUUUGGAGGGUUGGAAAUGGUGAUAACAUCAAGAUCUGGAGACACAAAUGGGAUGACCGGCUUAUAACUCUGGAAAAGAGGGUGAGGAAUAGAUUAAUGUAUGUUAAAGAUCUAAUGGAUGCAGGCUCCAGAAGCUGGAAUGAGAACUUGAUCCGCCAUGUAAUGCACAAGGAAGAUGCUGACGAGGUUUUAAAGAUUAGGCUGUCCAAUCAACAACCUGAAGAUUUCCCUGCUUGGCAUCUUGAAAAAACAGGGUUAUUUAUUGUGAAGAGUGCUUACAGGUUGGCCUGGAACCUAUCUAAAAAUGUUGUGGAGGCAUCUUCAAGCACAGCAACAUCAGGGGAAAGGAAACUAUGGUUGGCUCUGUGGAAGACAAGGGUACAGGCUAAAAUCAAGAUUUUUGCCUGGAAGUUAGCACUUGACAGGUUACCAACUUGGGUAAACAAGUGCAGGAGAAAAAUUGAAAGACAAAGUAUCUGCCAAAUUUGCGGAUCAGCUGAGGAGGAUGGUUUUCAUGCAACGGUUGAAUGCACAAAAGCAAAAGCACUUAGAGAGGCUAUCAGAGAGGUUUGGCGAUUACCUCCUGAAAUCAAGUUGCUAGAACUGGACCGGAUCGGCUACUGUUGCUCUUGGAUGGAGCUGAUGAAGUUGAGAGAGCGCACACGUUAUAUAUGCUUUGGCGUGCAUGGCAUCUUCGAAAUGAGAUGGUACAUGGUGCUGAUUCCAGUCCUAUAGCUGUCUCUAUCAACUUCUUGGUUAACUAUGAAGCAUGUAUGUUGCCUGUCCGACAACAGAUUGAUGACAAGAAGGGCAAGCGACCAAUGUUUGAGGAACUGACAGAAAAAGUGCAUGCCAGUGCUGUGCAAAUUGCUAAAUGGGAACCUCCACCGGAAGGUGUGGCUAAGGUAAACAUUGAUGCUGGAUUCAGGAAGGAGACGGGUGAUGCUUGUGCUGGAAUAAUUGUCAGAGAUUGCUGGGGCCUGGUUCUUCUUGCAGCUUGUAAGAAGCUUCCAAGAUGCAGCUCUGCUACCCUGGCUGAAGCUUUGGCUUUCCUGGAGGGCGUUCGGUUGGCGAUGAACUGGAUACAUAUGCCAAUAAUACUUGAAUCUGACAAUGCCGAUGUCGUUGCUGGACUGAAUAUAACACAAGCGUCAAGAGCAGAAUGGGGAGGUAUAAUUGCCGAGAUAAGAGUGGCAAUGCAAUGCUUGCUGCAGGUGCAAGUGCAUAAAGUGAAGAGAGAUUCAAAUAGGAUAGCUCAUAUGUUAGCUCAGAUGGUUAUGACCUCAGGAGUUGAAGCGGAGUGGAGGUUAUGCGCUCCGGCUGAAAUUCUAGAGCUGUUAAAUCAGGAAUAUAAUCCUAUGUUUUGUCAUUAAUAAAAUAUCUCUUUACGGUAAAAAAAAGUUGUGGACAAAAUAAUGAUGGAUAUGGGAUAUACCUUCUUGUGUGUCUCUAAUACCAUUAAACACAAGAGCAAAGUUAAGUUAAUGUUAUAACUUAUAAACACUAAUAGAGGAACAAUUAAUCUAUUCUCUACGAUACUCUUAUUCACGUCGACCGACAUUGUCAAUCAGGAUCACAAAGUACUGACCACGUGCAGGGUAAAGAGCAUUACUUUACGUUGGUUGUCGUAGGAACAAAACAUGGUACACUUACGGUUUCUUAAUAAAUGUGGUAAAGGCACUGACGAUUGGCUCAACCUGACACUAUAAUGGACAUAGAUAUAUAUACAUCAUGACCACCAUCUAAUAUAGUCCAUGGUAAUUCCAUCGAAUUGUAUCUAUUGCAAUGGCACCAAUGUAACGUUUUAUUAGGACCUUUUGUAUCUGUUGGUGCAGAAUAAUAGGACUAGGAUGCAUCAGAGAACAGAUAAACCCGCAGUUCGGAAAAGUUUGUUCGUGUAAACCAUGCCAAGCUGGAUCCACUAAAGUUUUCCGUGUGUUGUAGUUUAAUUAGUACACGAGUGGAAGAGGACUUCGGUGACAUUAGUAGCUUAAGUAGGUGAGGCGAUCACACACUCUAUUUGGUUGACAUCCGAGAAAUGAGGUGUCCCAUUUGACACACGUAUCGCUGGUACAACAAAACUAUGUGCACCGUAUACUAGUAGUUGAACCAGAUCAAAUCUUGCCCUCAGUUUUCAGCUCACACUUCCAUUAGUUAGUUUGUUUUUCUAUUACAAAUUUGGAGCAUGCAUGCCAGAUGCCUGCCGGCCUCAACCAUCUGUCCAUCUUUGUUUAUCUUCUAGUCCAAAUACUAGGACUAGGAGGCAUCAGUGAAAACAAGAGCAUCCUGCUCAUAACACACUAAUCGGAAUCACAUUGACCAUCCAAAAGAAACCUCUUGAGCAGCAUGUCACCUGCCCUGGACACUUCAAUUUUGCAGUGCAAUUCAAGUCUGAUGUGUGAUCAGUGUGAAGUCAUCGUAGUUAGCACGGUGGAGAAGGAACGCGGUCUUGCCAAGCUGAUCAGAAACGCAGUCGGCCGGCCAAGGCACAUCAAUGUCGACAGUUGCUUCCAAUCGUCAUAACAAGCAGCGAACCAUCAGCGUGGUGGAUGCACCCAGGGUUCACUCUAUCGGUUGAGGCAUUUGUAUCGGGGGUCACCGAAAUCCCGAAAUUUCCGAAAUUUUGAGCAAAAUUUAGUUGAAUUUGAACAAAUAUUACCCAAAUUAAUGAAAAAAUUGAAAAAUUCAAAAAUUUCGGCCGAAAUAAUAUCGUAUUGGGGGUGACCGAAAUGACUGAAAUUUCCAACACUGGAUGCACGGCGGGAAGGACAACAGUUGUGCAUAAUGUGCCAAGUUCCCUGGUCCUCUUAGAAGGCAGCUUGGAAGUUGGAAUUGGAGCGUGCUAGAUGUUGGUCCGCUUCUGUCAUACUCUCACUAAAUUACAAAAAUGAGGAUUAUUUAUAAUGUUUGAAUGAUUAAUGGGUAUUAUAAUUUUUAUGUUAUUAAUCGAUCCUUGGAGUUAAAUUUUCACUUAUAGCUUAUCAAGACAAAUGAAAAUCUAUAUUCUUUUAACUUUACUCCAAUAGUGCUGGCAGUCUACCAUGUCGGCAAUCUGAUCAAUUCCAAUGGCAGUGGUACUCUGAUAUUAUUCCCAAUGGCAGUGGCACCCCACCUACUCUAUCGAGUAGAACUGAUAACAAAAAUAAAUAAAAAACUAAGAUCAGUAAUCUUAAGGGGACACACCCCUAUUUUAGUUUUUUUUUUAUAUUGGGAGGAACAGGUACUAGAGAAAGAUGUGGGGGUUCAGGGAUGGCUUAAUGAAAGCACACGCUUGUAGCCUUUUAUUAAUUAAGAUAAUAGAAUUAAUUCUGGGCUUUACUUCAUAGAAACUAUAGCCAGUUAUUAUAGAGUUUACAGGUUGAUUAAUAAACAACGAAACUACUUAGACUACUAGACUUAAAAGGAAGAAAAGCUUCAUGUUUACUUGGUAAAAAUAUAAAUAACCGUUGUUCCCAGCAACCCGUAAGUGUAGUCCUCGUCUUCCUCAGAUCAGGCAAUAUCCCCUAAUUUGAGAAAUAUGAGGACAAGGUAUAACUACAAAGCAAGUUAGAGUAUGCAUCUACAGUCACGAAAGACAGUACGGAUCAAUAUUUGGUAAAAACUAAUAUUAUGGCACAAAUUUAUGGGAAUGAGGUUGCCUGGAGAGGUCCUAUUGAAGCAGAGGAAAAAACAUAGGAAUUAACUGUAGAUGAUUUAAAUCGUAUGGAAAAUUCUCCAGUCGGAACAAGGGAUUGAUCCCUAAAACUUUUUUGGUAAUUCUUUAAGAUAAAUGGUGCCUGCAUAUCCUCUUAUGUGUAAGAGUCAUGAGUUAAUUAAAUCGUAAAAUAUACAGCUGGUACCUUAACUUGAGAUGUUGGUGCGAUCACUUAUCCUAAAAUGUGUGCCAUAUGAAUUUUGUUGAUUGGCGAUAUCCAUGUAGCAGAUUGCUAUGCCCAUAUGGCUUACAAUCACAACAUAUUAGGCCAGUGUGCCUUCAAAUUUGGUAAAAUGUAGUCCAAGUAACAUGUAUUUUUUAACAUUUGGUAACAAGAUGUGUGAUUAAAAGCACGCCACCUCGCAGCUGUGGUACCGUCCGGUACAAUAUACUCCUAAUUAACCAAACACUGCACACUUCGGUACAGUUGCGAAUCAUUAAUCUCCUUGCCCUCUUACAUAUCAUGUACCAACUACCACGUACACAAUAUACAAAUAAUUAAAGCUGGUGUGCAUAAUUGUCAUCGAAUUAAAUUAAAUGAACUACACUUCCACUCAUCUCAUUUUAAACGAUGAGCUAUAAGUAGGAUGCAUCAUGGCUCUGCCUCUAGUUUUCGAUGCAGUGAAACCAAUUGGCCCAUAUAGAAGAAAGAAGGUACUGGUAUAUACUUAAUACUUCGAUGCACUCCGAUUUUAAACCACUCCAACAAACCAUCCAAGUUGGUAUUUGAUAUGCAGUGGCGCCAAGGUCUCAUAGCCAUCAAACAUGCCCUACAGCAAGCAUGUAGGUAGCGACAUAUAGGACUAGGAGGACUUGGAGAACCUUGAAGCACCAUAAUCAUAGCGGUAUCUUUGGACAAUAUCAUGCGAAGUGGUAAGAAACGGUACACCCGCAUGUUAGCAGCCAUGGGUGUUGUCAUGGUGUGAUGUCCUGAGAUCCUAUGUUAGGUGUCGAGCGACAUCCAUUGUCCGGAGAGCUGUGUUGGUCUACUGGACUGCACAGUGCUUUUUCGGCGAUGUGUACUGGGCAAGUGGCAGGCAUGGAGGAGUCAUCCAGCACGGAGAGCCGCACUUAGGUUGCAUGGUGAAAAUGAUUUGGCAUGCAUGCUGCCCUGGUCAUUCCCCACUAUGGGCACAUGUUUAACCCAUGAACACCUGCUCUCACGCAGCCCUAGGAGUGAUUGGAAGAUGCUUCAUUACUUCUACUGGAAGGGAUUACUAACCCGUUAUUUUCUAUUUUCUGAAUGCCUAUUGUCUAUUUAACUUUGCCUGCAACAUAUGGUAGUGUGAUUCGCAAAAUCGAAAUUCUAAAGUUCAACUAGUACUAUGAAUGUAUGCUUAUAUAGCUCAAAUUACCAUUCGUUUCAUAGUCGUGAUGGGCUUUUGUAAGUUUUUGGUUAAGAUGGGGCUUUUAUUACCUUGCGUUUCAUAGUCCAUAGCUGUCCAUGUUCCUGCUUUCCACCUCAUUCUUCCUGUUCCUGUUCUCAUCCACCAACACCAGUACCAAGAAGAAGACUUAUUAGUAUGUAGCACAAAAGAUAAUUCAUUGUAAUAUUACCUUCCAUUCCUCUACAAUCAACUAACUAUACUCCCGCAUAGCCAAAAUAUAAAAACUCCCAAUUCCUAAUCCAAAUCCAUAACUACCGAGCUUGUCUUGUUAACUAGUGGACAAGGGCUAAUUAAUCAAUAUGCUAAGCAAGUUGGUGGAAUCGAAGAGAAGGAUCGGAAGGCAAGUUCUAUAUCCGAGGAAUCGAAGAGAAGAGGAUGAAGGCAAUCUAAUAUAGGGAAAGAAAGAAAUCGAUCCAAUGGAGUUGGAGAACCUAGGUAUUGUGGGGAUCAACCGGGAAGCUGCAUCUUCGCCCGCAUCACCAUCGCCCGCAUAGCCAUCGCCACCACCCGCAUAGCAAUCGCUAUCGCUCCCCAUCGACUCUAACAACUACAUGCGACACACGCUCUAGUGCCUCAUCCGCGCGUGCACUGGAAGAGGAUACCGUUCUAUCCUACUCCGAACGGGAUACCGGUAUAUAAUAUUUACAUAAAAAUAUGUAUCCUCGUUGUUGAUCAUGUCCUUUUGGUUUCUGAUUUCUAACGAAAUUAUUGUACCAACAGUAAAUAAAAGUGAGUUGGUGCGUUUUGGUGGUUGAGACGAUAGCAACUUCACAACCCAUAUUAUCCCACUGCUCUGCUUAUACAUAGGAAGCAUAGAUGCAUCAUGUGGUCUUUCAUGCUUCCAGGCUUCUUUCAAAGAAAGUGAGUCAACACUGACAGCAGCUUGAAGAUGAGAUAUAUGUUGAUACUGUGCCAUACCAGUUCAGUGACACACCAUGCCAUAAUAGUCCAUGUUAAUUAGCUACUUUGAGUGCAAUGUACGGCCAGGGCUAGGAGGCAUCAAUCGGAGAACAAAAAUACAUUCUGCCAAUAGAAGUUACUUGCACUAACAAGAAGUAUGAGCAACCACUUCUGUACCAACACAGAGUCCAUGGAUGCUGUCCAAAAGGCGUUCGCACCAAGGCAGGCUAUCAGCUUUGGUCAGAUGGUCACCUCAGCUCUAGUGAGAGAUGGUGAUGGAGGCAGGGUGGAGCACAUGCUAUGGUGAUCGAUCAACACAACACUCACAAGGUCAGGUACACAACGGCCUGCAUCUUAUGGUUACCUCUAGCUCUAGGCGUGGUACAUGCUGUGGAGCAUGGGAAACCAUGUCAUCUCGUAGGGGCUGUUGAGUUGGCACAAGUUAGCAUAUAUGUUAGGUUUGUUAACAUUUUUUUUUUGGUUAGAAAUACAGUACAAGCUCUUAGCAUA
This is a non-coding RNA of Oryza sativa Japonica Group (Japanese rice), 8253 nucleotides long. The record is from RefSeq and is a predicted model, not a curated record. Lineage: Eukaryota; Viridiplantae; Streptophyta; Magnoliopsida; Poales; Poaceae.